CAGCCGCCGCGGGAAUACGUAGGUGGCAAGCGUUGUCCGGAAUUAUUGGGCGUAAAGGGCUCGCAGGCGGUUUCUUAAGUCUGAUGUGAAAGCCCCCGGCUCAACCGGGGAGGGUCAUUGGAAACUGGGAAACUUGAGUGCAGAAGAGGAGAGUGGAAUUCCACGUGUAGCGGUGAAAUGCGUAGAGGUGUGGAGGAACACCAGUGGCGAAGGCGACUCUCUGGUCUGUAACUGACGCUGAGGAGCGAAAGCGUGGGGAGCGAACAGGAUUAGAUACCCCCGUAGUCCCUGUCUCUUAUAA
RNAcentral lists this ribosomal RNA (301 nucleotides) under uncultured bacterium. RNAcentral describes it as "partial 16S ribosomal RNA". It matches the Rfam family "Bacterial small subunit ribosomal RNA", at positions 509 to 809 of the family's 1533-position model. The record is from RNAcentral.